Molecule: ribosomal RNA, 471 nt
Filed under: uncultured bacterium
Lineage: Bacteria
Description: bacterial SSU rRNA
Rfam family: Bacterial small subunit ribosomal RNA
Source: RNAcentral
GCCAGACUCCUACGGGAGGCAGCAGUUAGGAAUAUUCGUCAAUGGGGGAAACCCUGAACGAGCAAUGCCGCGUGAAGGAUGACGGUCCUAUGGAUUGUAAACUUCUGUUGUUAGGGAAGAACGACCUAAGUAGGAAAUGACUUAGGAGUGGCGGUACCUUUCAAGAAAGCUCCGGCUAACUACGUGCCAGCAGCCGCGGUAAUACGUAGGAGGCAAGCGUUAUCCGGAAUGACUGGGCGUAAAGGGUGCGUAGGUGGUUUGACAAGUUAGUAGCGCAACUCCGGAGCUUAACUUCGGAACUACUACUAAAACUGUUGGACUUGAGUGCAGGAGGGGCAAUCGGAAUUCCUAGUGUAGCGGUGGAAUGCGUAGAUAUUAGGAGGAACACCAGUGGCGAAGGCGGAUUGCUAGACUGUAACUGACACUGAGGCACGAAAGCGUGGGGAGCAAACAGGAUUAGAUACCCCUGUA